Long non-coding RNA from Bombus impatiens (common eastern bumble bee), 3988 nucleotides. RefSeq lists it as uncharacterized. NCBI's taxonomy places the organism in Eukaryota, Metazoa, Arthropoda, Insecta, Hymenoptera, Apidae. The transcript is spliced from 3 exons. The record is from RefSeq and is a predicted model, not a curated record.
ACGUACAUUCUGCAACAAAGAGGCAUUUGAAUUGGCUUGGUGAAUUUGUGGCUCCUCUUUUCUUUUUCCCGUUUUCUCCGACUGGUAUAUGUACGACUUAGGCGAAUGAAAAAUGACUAGGCGGAAAUAUUUGAAAGCGAACAGAAAGUGGAGAUUGUGGAUAGGAGAGGAAAAGAGGGCGUUGCAGAGGAGAAAGGUUUACGAAUAAAUAUUCCACACUAUUUAACUGUACUAUUUGACUGCGAGAAAAAUUCAUGAUCGUCAAUUGUAAAUUGUACGUUUAUAUCGAGAUUUAUAUCGAGUAUGUUGAGAUUGAAACUUAAUAUCCAGCAGAUGUGAAGGCACUUUGAGCAAAGUACUGCAGAAACGGAUUAACUAUUUUAUAAACUAUGUAUAAAACGUGAUACAGAGAAUGGGAUAAAAGUGAAAUCGCGGAAUGAAUGGAGGACUCUUUCCGGCUGGGGUACGCUAAUCGCCAGUCUCUGAAUCAUCGCCGUGCUCGAAGAAGGAGCAAACGUUCCUUGGUCGCCGCUUAAAAAUCGCCGAGACGACGAUGAGACGGUGCGUAAAAGAAGAAAGCGACGGGGCGAGAGAGAGAGAGAGAGAGAGAGAGAGAGAGAGAGAGAAAGGAAAGCGGCAGAAGGCGAUCUGAAAGAAGGAAAAAGAAAGCGAGCACCAUUCUCGCAAGGCCGUUGCCUCGUUUAACAGUGACGUGGAUUCACCUUCUUCCGCUAAGAUAAAAAGAAACCGAGGGAAAAGUCAGCUAGGUCCGUGUAUGACUGUUAGGCGCAACGACGUCCUUUUCUUUUUCAGCGUAAAAAUAAAUACUCGACCGUGCCCGCGCCGAAAAUAACCUGCACUCUUUCUGUCGGAUUAUGCGACUUAUCGUCGCUUCUAAGAAACCGCUUCCAUCCCCUCCAUCGAGCGUAUCACGCGCCCGGUAACCGAGCGAUUCGUGCGCGUUACACCUCGACACGAAGAAGUUUCUCGAGACCGGAAUACAGCAAUCGCUUUAUGGGAAGCGUGGCGCCGCCUCGCGUGCUACGCAUCACGUGACAGCCAGUGGAUAAGCAGCCAUCCCUACACGUCGAAUCGAUAAUUUUCGAUAUUUUGUUGGUAUUUUAUAUCAAGGUGAAUCACAAAUGCAACUCGCCAUUGCGAGUCAAGGACCAUAAGAAAAUAGAUCAUAAUUGAGUUGUCAUAAGAAGAUGAAGGUUAGCGGAUCAUAUAUUAAAUAAUAACGGGAAGAAUUCCAACUAUACGAUACAAAGUCUACUGUAACGAUCAACAGACGAGAAUGCGUCUAAAGUCAAAAAUAAAACGUAAUAGAUUAUACGCUGAUCAACCGAAGUACGUGGAAUUCUUCAGCAGCGUACCAACGAACCUAUUAGCCGAGCAACGGUACAAAUCACGGUUGAAUCCAUCCAGAACCUCAAUACGAUGCAAGCGUCGCGACGCUACACGUUUCAACGAACGGGGAAACGAAAGGAGAUCGGGUCUCUUUGGAUUCGUCCAGUCGUUCCGUUUGCUUCAAAUGUGCACACAUUCGACAGAGAAAGAGAGGAAGAAAGAUACACAGUAAGGCUCGUUGCGCGAGGUCGUUGCACCGUGUGUACUAAGUCGUUCUAAGCGCAUGGUCGGUCCUAAGCAACCAGGAGAGUCUGAGAGAAGAGAGCCUCGAUACGCCACCGCAUCGCAAAUAUGCGAGUCCAGUGCUACCUCGCCCUUUAUGCGGCAGUGUUCAUAUGUCAUCGAUACUGUUCAGUUCAUCGUUCAAUUCAUCCCAGGUAUAACUCCUUUCUCUUCGUUCUGUGUGUAUGCGCCGGCCUUUAUUGCCGAUUGCAAACAGGCUUCUGUGUACCAAAGCAUUUUUGCGAUACAGAGAUCUAUGAAGGCACAACUAUGAAAAACUAUGGUUUACUAGGUUAAAGAAAAAAUGUAGAUCAGAAUCGCCACAUUCGCGAACGUAUUAAUGGCCUGAAUACAGGAUAUGGCGAGAAACAGGCAGUGUUGCCAACAAAGUCAACGAAUUCCGUCCAUUUCAUCCGGCUCGAUUUCCUUCCUCCGUUUAACACGAGACACGCCAGCAAACCGAAUAAAUCACUCGAGUAUCGAGGACAAAGCCAGAGAACGAAUUAAUCCCGCCACUGCGCUAUGAGGGACAUCGAAAUCGGAGGAAAGCUUCAGGGAGAACCGUUGCCGUGUCGGCGCACCGCGCGUGCACGGUCGACGCUCUUUAUCGUUUCGAUCUGACAUUCUCCUAAUGGACCUCUUCUCUUCCUCGGCUCGCGCCCUCUUAACGCCCGUUUCUCUAGAAUUCGUAACGCGAUACGUAGUGCGAAACGCGCCGAUAAGUCGUUUCACAGAGAACAUAAAAUUUCACAUUUAAUAAUAUUGUUAGAUUUUUACCAUAGACUUUACUCUUUCUAUACUAAUUGUCUUUAUAUAUAUGUAUAUUUUUUAUAGAAGUUUCUCCUUGCUCUGUUAUUUGAAGUUGCAGCGCUAUAGAAAUACUCCAUUGCCCUUACCGCAUAAGUCUAAGCUCAUGGGAAGGAAUGUAACAACGGAUAGGGCGGGAGCAUAGGCGUCAAAUCUCGCUAAACGUUUAAUCUAUUAUUGGAAGGAUGAGAAUAGGACGUCGUAGCGGAGUGGACGACGCGAUGGACGACGGAGUAUAGAGUGUGGCCGAUGCUAAUUUGGCCCAUAUACUAACGUUUCAUAGACCGUUAACUCCGUUGCUGUAACUUAUGAACUGUGAAAUUUUGUGCGCUUUAUCUCGAGCCAGUGAACCGACCGCGCUUAGCGCAGCAACAGCUUCCUUGGCUAUUUCGCGGAACACUAAACGCGCCCUCUCGGUGAACCAAUCAGAAAUUCAAUGGCCUGCCCCAUGGUGGCGUUCCGCUGUUUUUCCUUGUACAUGCAUAAUGGCGCUUUUGUGGCCGUCCCGCGGUCUUAACACGUAACAAAAUUAAGGAUGCUAGCGGAGAACAGCCGCGUAGAGGGCGUUCACGCGAAUUACCGAGACAUUUGCAUAAAUGGAUUAGCAUAAAUUAAACCGAAUGGAAAAGCGUCGAGGCUGCGUCCGUAAAUUGGCCGCGAUUUGCAUAAACGGAGAAGGCCUUCUCGCGUAACGCGUUCCUCUCUUCCCCUUUCGGUUCGCAGAAAAAUCGUACGGACACGACACGACGAAAGUCGACGAGUGCAGUCGUAAAAAAGGAGCAGCCACUCAAACGGCGUAUAACACUACUACGACGACAACCAGGGCCAUCCUGAGAGCCGACGACGUAAUACGGCGUUUGGGUUGAGACACGUAAUGAAAACAGGCGUCCUCAAACGGUUGAGUGUCGGCCGUUUCGAGCAGCGCAAAAACAGGAGGAGACGCUCUUGCUGGCGACACCAGUUACGACGUCGUGUUUAAGACGGGUUACUGCAAGGUCAAUAUUAAUUACCGUUUUUAGAUCAAAGAUGGCGUUAUUACACAUUCGAAUGAACCAAGGCAAGUAAUUUUAGUCACAGGAUAAUUUGAUGUAUUUAAAGUUCGAGCAUCAUCCGUUGACGAUUCAUUCCUCCUAGCUUUAGCUUUCAGCGAAUCUCAUCAAGAAUUCUAGGAACACUGUUUCUGCCACUAUUCUGAGCCACGUAGUCAGUCUAGGAUAACGAUGAACGCGUGGCGCUUCUAACUGAGGAGUUCGAUGAACCGCGAUGAAUCCUCAACCGGGAUUCAUUUAGGAAAAAUACGACAGGAUAGACUACUGUUAAUCCUAAAAUAUCUAAGGCGUCGACCGUUGACUCGGCCUGUCCAAUGUCGGAAGAUUGGACACGUUACCCCGACUUUUGCUUCCACAAAACCGUUCUUGCCCGCAAAACGUCGUUAAAGCCAGACCGACGACUAUCUUACGCACGACGAAAGAAGCUUGCUCCAAAUUCUCCACGGUAAAACAUUUACCCUGACUUUAUUCCUCCUGCUAUUCAAUAAACUGAACGAGAA